GACGCGCGCGAGAUUUGAAUUUCCUCUGCGUGCGGUCAGUGCCCGCGCAGCGUUUUAUGGUACUGUACCGUGAGUAACUGAAACUACAGAAAGUGAAACCUUGGAUAGGGGAGAACUACUGUAUUGGAUUAGAUCUUUUUAGAGCAACAAUUUAAAUGCUAAGUAAACUUGUCAAAUAAAAACCAGGCAUUCUAGGACUGGUUGCUAAUAGAGUAGAAGAUUUUGCCAAGAUAUCUUGGGAAGAGUCAAGCAGGAUGGGGAUGGUGGGAGGGGAAGAAGUGAAUGUAUAUUUUAAAGCCACACUUGGUUUUCAGAGCUAAAGGAGGAGGCAUCUAUUUAAUCCCACAAAUGUGCACUGAACCUCAGGCAUUGUGUAAAGCCAUCAAGGAUAUUAGCUAAACUUGUUACUGUCCCCAGAGAGCUUAUAGACAGGGGAGAAAUGCAAGUCACAGACAAGUAAUAAUUCAGUAUAGUAAGUACUAUGACAGUGGUUUAGAAAAUACUAUGCGAAAUUUGGCAGGUAGAAAGCCUCAAGAUUAUCCUACUGUCCAGGUGGGGAAACCCUAGGCCCAGAGAGAAUUACAGACUAUAUAUGUGAGCAAGGAAGAGGUUUUACUAACAUUGCAUUUUAAUACCCAAAUACCAUCGGGUAUUAAAAAAGGAAUUCUUAAACAUAUUCAAGCCAAGGUCAUAUAGCAUCUGUACCUAGAAGAGUUUCUGCUGCACUGAAGUCAUUUGAUAUUUUUAGGUUAAUGUUUUUCUAUAAGUUAAUAUCUACCUUGAAUUCCUUCACUUGCUCUUCUGUCAACAUGUAUGUUACAAUAUUAACAUUCAUCAGGCGAUAAACAUCUUUUUUCAACAUUGGUAAUUUCAGAGUUUUCAUUUUUUAAAGAUCAUAUUGUAUGUUGUUUUUAAUUGCAGAGAAUAGGGUGAAACACCAGUAGAGCAAAUAAGACGUGUAUUACACCUUUAAGACUUUAGUUGGAGGUUCUCUUUGAAGCUCUGUCAGCUAGGACAACAUAUUUCAAUUUCCAUUGACAGCCAUGUGAAGAUAUAUAAUGGUCUCAUGCAUUUUAAGUAUAUUGGGGGCUUUGUAUUUUUGACUCCUUUUCCUUUCACAACAGAGUUUAUUUACAAGGGAACGUAUUACCUUUUUUCUUGUUAAUAAGUGGCGCAGUAAACAUAAGGUUUGAAGAACUAGCCACCAAAACUUUGUUUUGCUAAAUGGCCACAUCAUUUUCCACGGUUAGAACUUUCUUUUCUUUUUUUUUUUUUUUUUUUUUUUUGAGAUGGAGUCUUGCUCUGUCACCCAGGCUGCAGUGCUGUUGAGAGAUCAGCUCACUGCAGCCUCCACCUCCUGGGUUCAAGCGAUUCUCCUGCCUCAGCCUCCCAAAUAGCUGGGAUUACAGGCAUGCACCACUAGACCUGGUUAAUUUUUGUGUUUUUAGUAGAGUUUUCAUCAUGUUGGUCAGUCUGGUCUCAAACUCCUGACCUCAGGUGAUCCGCCUGCCUCGGCCUCCCAAAGUGCUGGAAUUACAGGCACCGUGCCUGGCCACCAUGGUUAGAACUUGCUAAAAUCUCUGAUAGAUGACAGUAGGUUUGCAGAUAUAGAUGUCUGCUCCAGGAUAACCUUUGAUGCCUUGAGGCAUAAAUCCUGGAAAUAAUAAAAACUUCUUUCAAAAAAACCUAUCCCUCAGCAUUGGUUAUGAGGGACGUUUCAGCCGUUCUUUUCAUAAACUGUACAUGGAACUAUAUUCCCCACAGUGUAGGUUCUAUAGAAUCUUGAGGCAGGAUCUUAUAGGCUCAUUUACCACAUAGGAAUUCCCUGGGGGAAAAUCUCUGGUAGAAAUCAGGAUGGCUAGUUUUGAGUCUCUUCCUAAUGAAUAUUAUUAGGAGUCCUAAGCAUUUUAAUAUUGGGGUAAAAAGAAGUUGAGGUUUCCAUUAAGAACCCUUACUUUUGUCAGUUUUUUCCUGUUUGUUUUUUCAAUUGAUCUCACCUGAAAUGUAUGUCAUAUGGUGGUUUGAGGUUAAAUGAUACAAAAAAUUUUACACAUUAUUUCUGUAAGUAUUUUGGUUUGCCAGUUACAACAAAACUCAAUGGGGCAGUGCUGCUGAAUUAGAUUUGGGCGUUUUGAUAAUGGGGCAGUUGUCUUCAUGGAGUAGAAAACUUCCCCAGGAAAUUGGCAAAGUUUUCAGAACUGAUAGAGUAAAAUCAGAAAAUCUAUCUACUACUCUUCCUCUUGUUCUCUGGGCCAUGGCAUACAAGGGCCUUUGCUCUGUCAUUCCUUUUGCCUGGAUCAUGGCUCACUUAUUUAAAACUUGCCCAAAUUUCAAUUCCUUGAUGAAAUUAUGACUGCUCCUUUAAAAUUGCAACCCGUUGCACCCUCCCCCAAUCUUGCUCUCUCCUUUUCAUCUCCAUUUCUUUUCCGAAUGUUCUAACAUACUGUGUUAUUGUGUUUAUUGCCUACUCUUUUUCUACUCUUUUUCCUUACUAGAACAUAAACUCCACGAGGGCAGCUGGUUUUAGUUGUUUUAUUUAUGGAUGCAUCCCAAGCAUCUAGAACAAGGCCUGACACAUAGUGGAAGGUCAGUAAACUUUUCUAAAAUGAGUUUAUCCAGGUAAACAGCCAUUUUUAAUGGGGAGGAGGAUCAUCUUUCCAGAUGUCACGUGCCACUUUUGUUGUAGACAAAGCCAGGUGAAUAACAUGAACUGUUACAGGUGUUGGCUUUUGGAGUUUUUAACUAAAUGGUGUAAGUUCU
Molecule: long non-coding RNA, 2760 nt
Filed under: Homo sapiens (human)
Lineage: Eukaryota; Metazoa; Chordata; Mammalia; Primates; Hominidae
Description: HSALNT0081361
Source: RNAcentral